GAUGAACGCUGGCGGCGUGCCUAACACAUGCAAGUCGAACGGAGUCGUUUUGGAAAUCUCUUCGGAGAUGGAAUUCUCGACUUAGUGGCGGACGGGUGAGUAACGCGUGAGCAAUCUGCCUUUAAGAGGGGGAUAACAGUCGGAAACGGCUGCUAAUACCGCAUAAAGCAUUAAAUUCGCAUGUUUUUGAUGCCAAAGGAGCAAUCCGCUUUUAGAUGAGCUCGCGUCUGAUUAGCUAGUUGGCGGGGUAACGGCCCACCAAGGCGACGAUCAGUAGCCGGACUGAGAGGUUGAACGGCCACAUUGGGACUGAGACACGGCCCAGACUCCUACGGGAGGCAGCAGUGGGGAAUAUUGCGCAAUGGGGGAAACGCUGACGCAGCAACGCCGCGUGAUUGAAGAAGGCCUUCGGGUUGUAAAGAUCUUUAAUCAGGGACGAAACAAAUGACGGUACCUGAAGAAUAAGCUGCGGCUAACUACGUG
This 483-nucleotide ribosomal RNA is filed under the name uncultured bacterium. Its description in RNAcentral is "partial 16S ribosomal RNA". It matches the Rfam family "Bacterial small subunit ribosomal RNA", at positions 28 to 507 of the family's 1533-position model. The record is from RNAcentral.